Long non-coding RNA from Gavialis gangeticus (Gharial), 128 nucleotides. RefSeq lists it as uncharacterized. The record is from RefSeq and is a predicted model, not a curated record. The transcript is spliced from 3 exons. Lineage: Eukaryota; Metazoa; Chordata; Crocodylia; Gavialidae.
GGAGCAACAAUGACAUGGACAACAGGUGAACUGAGUAUGUGACUCCACAAGUGGGGUGGGGAUGAAAGGAAGGGGUGGCCUGGUCUGAGAGACCAGAGUUUGUUUGUGUGUGUAGUGCACAAGGUGGC